This 113-nucleotide ribosomal RNA is filed under the name Jaculus jaculus (lesser Egyptian jerboa). The record is from RNAcentral. Lineage: Eukaryota; Metazoa; Chordata; Mammalia; Rodentia; Dipodidae.
GUCUACAGCCUCCCCACUGCCAACGAGCCGGUCUCGCCUCGUCCUGGAAGCUCAGCAGGGCUGGACCUGGUUGGCACUCGGAUGGGAAAAGCAGAAAGCAGGUUGCUGUGACG